This 257-nucleotide ribosomal RNA is filed under the name uncultured bacterium. RNAcentral's name for it is "partial 16S ribosomal RNA". It matches the Rfam family "Bacterial small subunit ribosomal RNA", at positions 524 to 776 of the family's 1533-position model. The record is from RNAcentral.
UACGGAGGGUGCGAGCGUUAUCCGGAUUCACUGGGUUUAAAGGGUGCGUAGGUGGGAAUGUAAGUCAGUGGUGAAAUCUCUGAGCUUAACUCAGAAACUGCCAUUGAUACUAUGUUUCUUGAAUUUUUCUGGAGGUCAGCGGAAUAUGUCAUGUAGCGGUGAAAUGCUUAGAUAUGACAUAGAACACCAAUUGCGAAGGCAGCUGGCUACAGGGAUAUUGACACUGAGGCACGAAAAGCGUGGGGGAUCAAAACAGG